GCCUAACACAUGCAAGUCGAGGGGUAACAGGGUAUUGCUUGCAAUCCGCUGACGACCGGCGCACGGGUGCGUAACGCGUAUGCAACCUACCUUCUACAAGAGGAUAGCCCAGAGAAAUUUGGAUUAAUACUCUAUACGAUCAUUAACUGGCAUCAGUCAAUGAAGAAAACUCCGGUGGUAGAAGAUGGGCAUGCGUCCUAUUAGUUAGUUGGUAAGGUAAUGGCUUACCAAGACUUCGAUAGGUAGGGGUCCUGAGAGGGAGAUCCCCCACACUGGUACUGAGACACGGACCAGACUCCUACGGGAGGCAGCAGUGAGGAAUAUUGGACAAUGGAGGCAACUCUGAUCCAGCCAUGCCGCGUGCAGGAAGACGGCCCUACGGGUUGUAAACUGCUUUUAUACAGGAAGAAUUAUGCCUACGUGUAGGCAUUUGACGGUACUGUACGAAUAAGGAUCGGCUAACUCCGUGCCAGCAGCCGCGGUAAUA
RNAcentral lists this ribosomal RNA (487 nucleotides) under uncultured bacterium. RNAcentral describes it as "bacterial SSU rRNA". It matches the Rfam family "Bacterial small subunit ribosomal RNA", at positions 46 to 525 of the family's 1533-position model. The record is from RNAcentral.